This 497-nucleotide ribosomal RNA is filed under the name uncultured bacterium. RNAcentral's name for it is "partial 16S ribosomal RNA". It matches the Rfam family "Bacterial small subunit ribosomal RNA", at positions 28 to 507 of the family's 1533-position model. The record is from RNAcentral.
GAUGAACGCUGGCGGCGUGCCUAAUACAUGCAAGUCGAGCGAACGGACGAGAAGCUUGCUUCUCUGAUGUUAGCGGCGGACGGGUGAGUAACACGUGGAUAACCUACCUAUAAGACUGGGAUAACUUCGGGAAGCCGUAGCUAAUACCGGAUAAUAUUUUGAACCGCAUGGUUCAAAAGUGAAAGACGGUCUUGCUGUCACUUAUAGAUGGAUCCGCGCUGCAUUAGCUAGUUGGUAAGGUAACGGCUUACCAAGGCAACGAUGCAUAGCCGACCUGAGAGGGUGAUCGGCCACACUGGAACUGAGACACGGUCCAGACUCCUACGGGAGGCAGCAGUAGGGAAUCUUCCGCAAUGGGCGAAGGCCUGACGGAGCAACGCCGCGUGAGUGAUGAAGGUCUUCGGAUCGUAAAACUCUGUUAUUAGGGAAGAACAUAUGUGUAAGUAACUGUGCACAUCUUGACGGUACCUAAUCAGAAAGCCACGGCUAACUACGUG